CCUACGGGAGGCAGCAGUGAGGAAUAUUGGUCAAUGGUCGGGAGACUGAACCAGCCAAGCCGCGUGAGGGAUGAAGGUACAGAGUAUCGUAAACCUCUUUUGUCAGGGAACAAAGGCGGGGACGUGUCCCCGGAUGAGUGUACCUGAAGAAAAAGCAUCGGCUAACUCCGUGCCAGCAGCCGCGGUAAUACGGAGGAUGCGAGCGUUAUCCGGUUUUAUUGGGUUUAAAGGGUGCGCAGGCGGUCUGUUAAGUCAGCGGUCAAAGCCCGGGGCUCAACCCCGGACCGCCGUUGAAACUGGCAGUCUUGAGUGGGAGAGAAGUAUGCGGAAUGCGCGGUGUAGCAGUGAAAUGCAUAGAUAUCGCGCAGAACUCCGAUUGCGAAGGCAGCAUGCCGGCUCCACACUGACGCUGAGGCACGAAAGCGUGGGUAUCGAACAGGAUUAGAUACCCCAGUAGUC
Molecule: ribosomal RNA, 459 nt
Filed under: uncultured bacterium
Lineage: Bacteria
Description: partial 16S ribosomal RNA
Rfam family: Bacterial small subunit ribosomal RNA
Source: RNAcentral